AACCUUUGGAGCUNGCUCCAUNGGUUUAGCGGCGGACGGGNGAGUAACACGNGGGCAACCUGCCCUGCAGAUCGGGAUAACUCCGGGAAACCGGNGCUAAUACCGAAUAGUUUUUUGCCCCUCCUGGGGCGAAACGGAAAGACGGUUUCGGCUGUCACUGCAGGAUGGGCCCGCGGCGCAUUAGCUAGUUGGUGGGGUAAUGGCCCACCAAGGCGACGAUGCGUAGCCGACCUGAGAGGGGGAUCGGCCACACUGGGACUGAGACACGGCCCAGACUCCUACGGGAGGCAGCAGUAGGGAAUCUUCCGCAAUGGACGCAAGUCUGACGGAGCAACGCCGCGUGAGUGACGAAGGUUUUCGGAUCGUAAAACUCUGUUGUGGAGGGAAGAACAAGUAUCAANUAACUACUGGUACCUUGACGGUACCUCACCAGAAAGCCACGGCUAACUACGUGCCAGCAGCCGCGGUAAUACGUAGGUGGCAAGCGUUGUCCGGAAUUAUUGGGCGUAAAGCGCGCGCAGGAGGUCCCUUAAGUCUGAUGUGAAAGCCCACGGCCUCAACGUGGAGGGGUAUUGGAAACUGGGGGANUUGAGUGUAGAAG
This 601-nucleotide ribosomal RNA is filed under the name Planococcaceae bacterium 2J11. RNAcentral's name for it is "bacterial SSU rRNA". It matches the Rfam family "Bacterial small subunit ribosomal RNA", at positions 69 to 654 of the family's 1533-position model. The record is from RNAcentral. Lineage: Bacteria; Bacillati; Bacillota; Bacilli; Caryophanales; Caryophanaceae.